GUGUAGUGUGGAGAAGUCCAUACUUACGUCUUGAUGAGAGGCCAUAUUCCUUGGUGCUGUCCUUUGUUGUCCCUUGUGUGCUGCGUGGAGGAGGUCCUUUAACGCCUUCUCCCGUCCAGCCGGACUUCUCUGUUCAGCUCCGACGGUGAUGGUCCUCUCUUCAGUCACGCAUGUGACGACUUAUCUCCAGUGUUCAGUGGGCGUGCAAGGCAAUCAGAAAAUCCUGUUAUUCAGUUUCCAUGAACACAUGAUGACAGAACUGGA
This is a long non-coding RNA of Bufo bufo (common toad), 264 nucleotides long. RefSeq lists it as uncharacterized. NCBI's taxonomy places the organism in Eukaryota, Metazoa, Chordata, Amphibia, Anura, Bufonidae. The record is from RefSeq and is a predicted model, not a curated record. The transcript has 3 exons.